GCCGGGGAGUUAGCGGUGCCCUGUACCUGCAAUCCGCUACAGCAGGGGUGAUAUUCUGCCGAGGGCAUUUUGAUGCAGAGCUGCCCUUCGCAAGUGGCGUUGACGUUUGGGUCUCGCGCAACAGAAAUCCAUGAACCUUGUCAGGGCAGGAAUGCAGCAGCAAUAAGUGGAAUCUUUUGUGUGCCGUGAGGUCGCCUGGACUGAGUUAACUGCGAAGGUAACGUCUGUGUCAGAUGUUCG
Molecule: signal recognition particle RNA, 240 nt
Filed under: Candidatus Ventrisoma faecale
Lineage: Bacteria; Bacillati; Bacillota; Clostridia
Also listed under: 1 other name
Description: Bacterial large signal recognition particle RNA
Rfam family: Bacterial large signal recognition particle RNA
About the family: The signal recognition particle (SRP) is a universally conserved ribonucleoprotein involved in the co-translational targeting of proteins to membranes. Archaeal SRP consists of a 7S RNA and homologues of the eukaryotic SRP19 and SRP54 proteins.
Source: RNAcentral